RNAcentral lists this ribosomal RNA (965 nucleotides) under Cibicides ungerianus. RNAcentral describes it as "SSU rRNA". It matches the Rfam family "Eukaryotic small subunit ribosomal RNA", at positions 1202 to 1810 of the family's 1831-position model. Lineage: Eukaryota; Foraminifera; Rotaliida; Cibicididae. The record is from RNAcentral.
AACGCGGGAAAUCUUACCGGGUCCGGACACACUGAGGAUUGACAGGCAAUAUUAAUACUUUUUUGCUUCGGCAUUGAGUAUUAUGUUAAAUAUGCUAGUCCUUUCAUGAUUAUGUGAUAGGUGGUGCAUGGCCGUUCUUAGUUCGUGGAGUGAUCUGUCUGCUUAAUUGCGUUUCACUAAGGGCCUAUAAAUUUACGUAUGUUGCAUCGCACUUUGACCCCUUUCUUAAUUGAAAGCGCGUGUCUUAGUUUCGCUUUGCUCAUACAAUUAGGUCCUGAAAGCAACGAACGUGACCGCAACCUCUUGUUGCCUUUAUACCAAACAUGUUUGUAUAAUUUUUAUUACGCAUUCAUGAAAAAAGGCUUUUUAAACUAGAGGGACCGCUGUUACUUUCUUAAACCAGAGGAAGGUUGCGGCAAUAACAGGUCUGUGAUGCCCUUAGAUGUUCCGGGCUGCACACGUGCUACAAUGAUUAUUGCAGUGAGCAUCUCAUUUUUACACACCGCAUGCGCGAGUCCAUUUAUUCACCUUCGGGCGUUUUAAAUGUGUACCUCUGCGCGCGGUAAAGCCUGCUUCGAAAGUAAGUGGGUAAUCAAUUAGAAGUAAUGAUUUCCUUUUUUUAGCACACAUAUAUACGGCGUCUAUGCCCGGGUUACCUUGUUGUAGCUUUUGUGCGUAUAGAUGUUUUUUCCGUAUGUGCGAUUGUCAAUUCAUGGUGGGGACAGACCAUUGUUAAUUGUUGGUCUCGGUCUUAACUAGGAAUGCCUUGUACGGGUCUUUGGUUCAACAAACCACCCGGAAUACGUCCCUGCCCUUUGUACACACCGCCCGUCGCUCUUACCGAUGGACUUCUCUGUGAGUUUGAGGGACUGGGAACGCAGGAAUUUAUUUCUGCACACCUAUGGAAACUUAAACGAACAGUGUGGUCUAAAGGAAAGAGAAGUCGUAACAAGGCAUCGGUAGGU